AGGACAUCCAGAUCCAGAUCUCCAUCCCUUUCUGGAGCUUGUUUGUGGAUCUCUCAUUCAAGCAGCUGCCCAAAUUACAGGACAACCCAACCUCAACCCAGCACAGAGAAAAAGGUGUGAUUUUAUUUUUUUUCUCCAGACUGCAGCCUAGAACAUUGCAGUCCACAGGUCCUGACGAAAUACGUCCUGGAAUACUAAAGGAGCUGACUGAGGAGCUACCUGAGCCAUGAGCAAUUAUCGUCAAAAACUCAUGAAGAUGGAAGAAUUCCAGAGGAGUGGGAGAGGGUAAAUAUAGUGCAGCCUGGGGAAUUACAGAUCAGUCAGCGUAACUUCAGUAUCCAGAAAGAAAAUGGAGCAAAUAAUCAAACCACCAAUUUGCAAACAUCUAGAAGAUAAUAAAG
Long non-coding RNA from Chelonia mydas (Green sea turtle), 401 nucleotides. RefSeq lists it as uncharacterized. The record is from RefSeq and is a predicted model, not a curated record. The transcript is spliced from 3 exons. NCBI's taxonomy places the organism in Eukaryota, Metazoa, Chordata, Testudines, Cheloniidae.